Molecule: small nucleolar RNA, 202 nt
Organism: Bufo bufo (common toad)
Lineage: Eukaryota; Metazoa; Chordata; Amphibia; Anura; Bufonidae
Product: small nucleolar RNA SNORA74
Exons: 1
Source: RefSeq, a predicted model, not a curated record
CUCAGCGGUAGUCAGCUGUCUAGCGCCAUUCAAUGCCUAUGAUAGUGUUACACUGCUGGGAGAAGAUGGCACUGCCCAUUUAUACUGGAUGCCACAGUCGCUGUUCUGGUGGCCAGUGGUAUUAGUAUCAGGCAGUGUUGUGUUUUCUUGAGAGUGCGCCAAACUGGACUGUGAGUAUGGCGCUAGUCUGGGAACAUACAUU